Molecule: ribosomal RNA, 425 nt
Filed under: uncultured bacterium
Lineage: Bacteria
Description: partial 16S ribosomal RNA
Rfam family: Bacterial small subunit ribosomal RNA
Source: RNAcentral
GAAUUUUGGACAAUGGGCGAAAGCCUGAUCCAGCAAUGCCGCGUGCAGGAUGAAGGCCUUCGGGUUGUAAACUGCUUUUGUACGGGACGAAAAGCUUUGGGUUAAUACCCUGGAGUCAUCACGGCACCGUACGAAUAAUCACCGGCUAACUACGUUCAAGCCGCCGCGGUAAUACGUAGGGUGCAAGCGGUAAUCGGAAUUACUGGGCGGAAAGCUUGCGCAGGCGGUUUUGGAAGACAGAGGUGACAUCCCCGGGCUCAACCUGGGAACUGCCUUUGUGACUGCAAGGCUAGAGUACGGCAGAGGGGGGUGGAAUUCCGCGUGUAGCAGUGAAAUGCGUAGAUAUGCGGAGGAACACCGAUGGCGAAGGCAACCCCCUGGGCCUGUACUGACGCUCAUGCACGAAAGCGUGGGGAGCAAACAGG